RNAcentral lists this transfer RNA (101 nucleotides) under Fusarium equiseti. RNAcentral's name for it is "tRNA-Ser". It matches the Rfam family "tRNA". From Rfam's summary of the family: Transfer RNA (tRNA) molecules are approximately 80 nucleotides in length. Their secondary structure includes four short double-helical elements and three loops (D, anti-codon, and T loops). Further hydrogen bonds mediate the characteristic L-shaped molecular structure. tRNAs have two regions of fundamental functional importance: the anti-codon, which is responsible for specific mRNA codon recognition, and the 3' end, to which the tRNAs corresponding amino acid is attached (by aminoacyl-tRNA synthetases). tRNAs cope with the degeneracy of the genetic code in two manners: having more than one tRNA (with a specific anti-codon) for a particular amino acid; and 'wobble' base-pairing, i.e. permitting non-standard base-pairing at the 3rd anti-codon position. The record is from RNAcentral. Lineage: Eukaryota; Fungi; Ascomycota; Sordariomycetes; Hypocreales; Nectriaceae.
GGCAACGUGGCGGAGUGGUUAUCGCGUUUGACUCGAAUGGGCUUAAAUACCCUAGCAAUCAAAUUCCUUCGGGAGCGCAUGUUCGAAUCAUGCCGUUGUCG